AAGUCGUAACAAGGUUUCCGUAGGUGAACCUGCGGAAGGAUCAUUAACGAGUAAGGGUCCUGACCGGCCCGACCUCCAACCCUUUGUCGUUGAAAAACCACUGUUGCUUUGGCGGGACAGCGGGUCCCCAGGGGCCACGCCGCGUCGCUGCGGCCCGGCCGACGCGCCUGCCAAGACGUACCAACCAUUAAAUCUUCGUCAUAAGAACAGUACGUCUGAGUAAAUUGAUAAAUCAAUCAAAA
This 242-nucleotide unclassified non-coding RNA is filed under the name plant metagenome. RNAcentral describes it as "partial contains small subunit ribosomal RNA and internal transcribed spacer 1". The stretch from base 1 to 46 matches the Rfam family "Eukaryotic small subunit ribosomal RNA", at positions 1786 to 1831 of the family's 1831-position model. The record is from RNAcentral.